RNAcentral lists this ribosomal RNA (465 nucleotides) under Vreelandella stevensii. RNAcentral's name for it is "partial 16S ribosomal RNA". It matches the Rfam family "Bacterial small subunit ribosomal RNA", at positions 338 to 795 of the family's 1533-position model. Lineage: Bacteria; Pseudomonadati; Pseudomonadota; Gammaproteobacteria; Oceanospirillales; Halomonadaceae. The record is from RNAcentral.
CCUACGGGCGGCAGCAGUGGGGAAUAUUGGACAAUGGGCGAAAGCCUGAUCCAGCCAUGCCGCGUGUGUGAAGAAGGCCUUCGGGUUGUAAAGCACUUUCAGUGGGGAAGAAAGCCUUGGGGCUAAUACCCUCGAGGAAGGACAUCACCCACAGAAGAAGCACCGGCUAACUCCGUGCCAGCAGCCGCGGUAAUACGGAGGGUGCGAGCGUUAAUCGGAAUUACUGGGCGUAAAGCGCGCGUAGGCGGUCUGAUAAGCCGGUUGUGAAAGCCCCGGGCUCAACCUGGGAACGGCAUCCGGAACUGUCAGGCUAGAGUGCAGGAGAGGAAGGUAGAAUUCCCGGUGUAGCGGUGAGAUGCGUAGAGAUCGGGAGGAAUACCAGUGGCGAAGGCGGCCUUCUGGACUGACACUGACGCUGAGGUGCGAAAGCGUGGGUAGCAAACAGGAUUAGAUACCCCUGUAGUC